AGUACAAGAUUUUCGUUUGCCUCAUGCAAGGUUUUCGUCUGCCAAUGUGUACGAGUUUGCUUCCUUUUAUCUGAGUAGUUUUUUAGUUCUCAUUUAUGUCUAUGAAAACUGGGCUUAGUAACCUCUCCUUGGAAGAGAAGGAAGAUACAGAGUUGGUGGUGGCUCCGAAUAUAGCUGUUGGGGCUAAGGUCAAUUAUGAGUGUUUAGUGGAAAAGUUUUUGGUGAGUGUACUAUCAAAUUUAUGGCUAUGGAGCUUACUGUCUUUCUGGUGGCCGAUUCAAGGAGCGACGAUCAAACUCAUCAAUGAUACAGGGUU
This 316-nucleotide long non-coding RNA is filed under the name Gossypium barbadense (sea-island cotton). RNAcentral describes it as "long non-coding RNA (GBAR_LNC003249)". Lineage: Eukaryota; Viridiplantae; Streptophyta; Magnoliopsida; Malvales; Malvaceae. The record is from RNAcentral.